This 376-nucleotide ribosomal RNA is filed under the name uncultured bacterium. RNAcentral's name for it is "bacterial SSU rRNA". It matches the Rfam family "Bacterial small subunit ribosomal RNA", at positions 524 to 898 of the family's 1533-position model. The record is from RNAcentral.
UACGGGGGGUGCAAGCGUUGUUCGGAUUUACUGGGCGUAAAGCGCGUGUAGGCGGUCUGUUAAGUCAGAUGUGAAAGCCCAGGGCUUAACCCUGGAAGUGCGUUUGAAACUGGCAGGCUAGAGUGCGAUAGAGGGAAGGGGAAUUCCAGGUGUAGAGGUGAAAUUCGUAGAUAUCUGGAGGAAUACCGGCGGCGAAGGCGCCUUCCUGGGUCGUAACUGACGCUGAGACGCGAAAGCGUGGGUAGCAAACAGGAUUAGAUACCCUGGUAGUCCACGCCGUAAACGAUGAGUGCUAGGUGUUGCGGGUACCGACCCCUGCAGCGCCGCAGCUAACGCAUUAAGCACUCCGCCUGGGGAGUACGGUCGCAAGAUUAAA